UAGCAUAUCAAUAAGCGGAGGAAAAGAAACCAACAGGGAUUGCCUCAGUAACGGCGAGUGAAGCGGCAACAGCUCAAAUUUGAAAUCUGGCCCCCUCGGGGCCCGAGUUGUAAUUUGUAGAGGAUGUUUCGGGCGUGGCUCCGGUCUAAGUUCCUUGGAACAGGACGUCAUAGAGGGUGAGAAUCCCGUAUGUGACUGGUGGCCUAUGCCCAUGUGAAACUCCUUCGACGAGUCGAGUUGUUUGGGAAUGCAGCUCAAAAUGGGUGGUAAAUUUCAUCUAAAGCUAAAUAUUGGCCAGAGACCGAUAGCGCACAAGUAGAGUGAUCGAAAGAUGAAAAGCACUUUGGAAAGAGAGUUAAACAGUACGUGAAAUUGUUGAAAGGGAAGCGCUUGCAACCAGACUUGCACGCGGCCGAUCAACCGGUGUUCUCACCGGUGCACUCGGCCGCGUUCAGGCCAGCAUCGGUUUCGACGGCUGGAUAAAGGCCCCGGGAAUGUAGCUCCUCUCGGGGAGUGUUAUAGCCCGGGGUGCAAUGCAGCCCGUUGGGACCGAGGACCGCGCUUCGGCUAGGAUGCUGGCGUAAUGGUUGUAAGCGACCCGUCUUGAAACACGGACCAAGGAGUCUAACAUCUAUGCGAGUGUUUGGGUGUCAAACCCAUACGCGGAAUGAAAGUGAACGGAGGUGAGAACCCUCAAGGGUGCAUCAUCGACCGAUCCUGAUGUCUUCGGAUGGAUUUGAGUAAGAGCAUAGCUGUUGGGACCCGAAAGAUGGUGAACUAUGCCUGAAUAGGGUGAAGCCAGAGGAAACUCUGGUGGAGGCUCGCAGCGGUUCUGACGUGCAAAUCGAUCGUCAAAUUUGGGUAUAGGGGCGAAAGACUAAUCGAACCAUCUA
RNAcentral lists this ribosomal RNA (893 nucleotides) under Xenosphaeropsis pyriputrescens. Its description in RNAcentral is "partial large subunit ribosomal RNA". It matches the Rfam family "Eukaryotic large subunit ribosomal RNA", at positions 36 to 946 of the family's 3401-position model. Lineage: Eukaryota; Fungi; Ascomycota; Leotiomycetes; Phacidiales; Phacidiaceae. The record is from RNAcentral.